AAAAUGGUCAAAAAAUGUCAUAGUAUAGUAAGGCAUGAAAAAACUUCAAAAAAUGUCAUAAUAUAGUAAUGCGUCAAAAUUGGUCAAAAAAUGUCAUAGUAUAGUAAGGCAUGAAAAAACUUGAAAAAAUGUCAUAGUAUAGUAAGGUGUCAAAAUUGGUCAAAAAAUGUCAUAGUAUAGUAAGGUGUCAAAAAUGGUCAAAAAAUGUCAUAGUAUAGUAAGGUGUCAAAAUUGGUCAAAAAAUGUCAUAGUAUAGUAAGGUGUCAAAAUUGGUCAAAAAAUGUCAUAGUAUAGUAAGGUGUCAAAAAACUUCAAAAAAUGUCAUAAUAUAGUAAUGCGUCAAAAUUGGUCAAAAAAUGUCAUAGUAUAGUAAGGUGUCAAAAUUGGUCAAAAAAUGUCAUAGUAUAGUAAUGCGUCAAAACUGGUCAAAAAAUGUCAUAGUAUAGUAAGGUGUCAAAAUUGGUCAAAAAAUGUCAUAGUAUAGUAAGGUGUCAAAAUUGGUCAAAAAAUGUCAUAGUAUAGUAAGGUGUCAAAAUUGGUCAAAAAAUGUCAUAGUAUAGUAAGGCAUGAAAAAACUUCAAAAAAU
Lates calcarifer (barramundi perch) is the source of this 586-nucleotide long non-coding RNA. RefSeq lists it as uncharacterized. The transcript has 3 exons. The record is from RefSeq and is a predicted model, not a curated record. Lineage: Eukaryota; Metazoa; Chordata; Actinopteri; Centropomidae.